This 565-nucleotide ribosomal RNA is filed under the name Ogataea sonorensis. RNAcentral's name for it is "eukaryotic LSU rRNA". It matches the Rfam family "Eukaryotic large subunit ribosomal RNA", at positions 62 to 648 of the family's 3401-position model. Lineage: Eukaryota; Fungi; Ascomycota; Pichiomycetes; Pichiales; Pichiaceae. The record is from RNAcentral.
AAACCAACAGGGAUUGCCUUAGUAGCGGCGAGUGAAGCGGCAAGAGCUCAAAUUUGAAAUCUGGUACCUUCGGUGCCCGAGUUGUAAUUUGAAGAAAGCUAUCUUGGAUUUGGCCUUUGUCUAUGUUCCUUGGAACAGGACGUCACAGAGGGUGAGAAUCCCGUGCGAUGAGGUGUCCAUUUCUAUGUAAGAUGUUUUCGAAGAGUCGAGUUGUUUGGGAAUGCAGCUCUAAGUGGGUGGUAAAUUCCAUCUAAAGCUAAAUAUUGGCGAGAGACCGAUAGCGAACAAGUACAGUGAUGGAAAGAUGAAAAGAACUUUGAAAAGAGAGUGAAAAAGUACGUGAAAUUGUUGAAAGGGAAGGGUAUUAGAUCAGACUUGGUAUUUAGUUAUCAUUGCUCCUUGUGGGUGGUGCUCUAGCUUUUUACUGGGCCAGCAUCAGUUUUGGUGACAGGAUAAUAGCAAUUGAAUGUGGCUCCUCGGAGUGUUAUAGCUUUUGUUGAUACUGUCUACUGGGACUGAGGUCUGCGGCUUUGCCUAGGAUGCUGGCGUAAUGAUCCAAUACCGC